AAAUGGAACUGGGAAAUGUGAGGUGAAAAUAGAUCAUGGGAUGGAAGAUGGACAGUGAGAGUGAUAUGGGAACUCAGAGACGGAUACUGAGAGGAGAUGGGAAUAUGGGAAGAAGUACGAAAACUGAGGGAGCAGGCAAAGAAGCGGCACGGAGGGAAAAUGUGAGAGAACUAACCUUGAGCUCCUGCACCUCUGGGAAGUUUUUCCAGCUUUGGAGAAGAUGAACAAAAGUGCAAUCCAAGAAGGUGUCUUGGCAGAUCCCUCUGGGAAGGAACAUAUGCAAAUAUCCAGUGAAUGGAAGUGGGUAAUAAUAGCCCAUGAAGAAUAGAUAUUUCACUGCUACCUUUUGGCAGAAGCGAGUAAUGAAUGUUCCAUGGAAAGCAUCAGACAAAUAAUAACUGGAACAAGAAGUCAAGCUGUGAAACAUGCAAAUGUUGCAUCAUCCGGCUUCUUGGCAGACCACUCAGCUUCACCGGAUAAAACUGUGAGAUGGCCAGAGAGAGGCUUCUUUGCAGGGCAGUGUGGCACUGAUAUCACAUACAAAGGAUGAUGUUUGAGAGCCAUAUCCUGCCCUAGCCAACAUAGCUAUGGAGAGAAGCGAAACAAGCCGGCGUGUCCUGCCACAACAAUCUGACUACUCAGAACAGGAUUUCAAAGGAUGUAGUAGGGCACUGCAGUUCAGGGAACAUUUUGCUGCUAUUCCUAGUGAAUGAAAUUCACACCCUUUGCUGAGGGCCAGCAGAGUGCCCAUGCAUCACGUAAAUCCUGUUUUGAAGUCCAGAUCCUCAGCUGGUAUAAAUUGGCGUAGCUCCAUUGACUGCAAUGUGGUGCACAGACAUUACGUUUGCGUUGUGAAAAGAAGUGAAUUUCAUCCAUCAUGGGCAAAGUCAUCAACAACCUGUUGUCAGCUUACACUGUCUACUGCUUGGGAACUACACACAUUUCUCUUAGCAGAUAAGAGGCUCUUUACACCCUCUUACUGUCCUUAUACACUAGCACAGCAAACGGCAGAACUUAGCUACUAUACAGCUGAAGAAACAUUACUUUUUUUUACAAUUAUAUUUAGAAAUUUCCUUGAACCACCGUGGAAAGCAACAGCUUCUAUGGAUAAACAGCUCAUAUCUUAAUAGAUUCCCUCCUGACAGUUGGACAAUACUGAGAAUUUUAUGCAAGUCUGUUGAGAAGAUUCCACAUAAAAAAAGGAUCCCAUGGACUGCAGUAGUAGCUGGGACCCCUUCUCUUCCCUUAAGUGCUGAGAGAGAUUAGGCUGGAGGAUAAUGCACUGGCUGUUCCCCUACACACUUCAAAACUUUCUCUUUUCAUACCACCCUUACAGUAUGUCUACACUACCCGCCAGAUCGGUGGGUAGCAAUUGAUUUAUUGGGGAUCGACAUAUCCCGUCUCAUCUAGAUGCGAUAUAUCGAUCCCCAAACGCACUCCCGUUGACUCCGGAACUCCACCAGGGCGAG
Mauremys reevesii (Reeves's turtle) is the source of this 1469-nucleotide long non-coding RNA. RefSeq lists it as uncharacterized. Lineage: Eukaryota; Metazoa; Chordata; Testudines; Geoemydidae. The transcript is spliced from 6 exons. The record is from RefSeq and is a predicted model, not a curated record.